GCGCCGGUGAUGUAAGGCGAACAUCGCUGCCCGGAAAGCAGAAGAUGCGGGUUCGAGUCCCGCCUGGCGCA
Molecule: non-coding RNA, 71 nt
Organism: Heligmosomoides polygyrus
Lineage: Eukaryota; Metazoa; Nematoda; Chromadorea; Rhabditida; Heligmosomidae
Source: Rfam